Molecule: long non-coding RNA, 8562 nt
Organism: Peromyscus californicus insignis
Lineage: Eukaryota; Metazoa; Chordata; Mammalia; Rodentia; Cricetidae
Exons: 3
Source: RefSeq, a predicted model, not a curated record
CUUCCUUCACCCAGCCAUAGGUCACAUAAGGACCUGCCUUCCUUGGCCCACAUCUCCCCAUCUGGACCACACAUGACAGACGCGGCUCUUUUGCGCCUGCCCCAGCUUAAACUGAGAACCUGCCCGAAAUCCAGCCCAGAGCUCCCAGGAAGAAGACAGACACACAAGUGGCUGAGAUCACCAAGAACACUGCCUUCCCCCGGAGCAGAGUUUGGGGAGGGCCUGCGGUCUGGGUAGGCAGCUCAUUGAUCCACUCCUCUGAGAAUUAUUCUGUACUCAUCACAAACCAAAUGAGGCUGGCCCCAACCCAGGCAGGCAGGCAGGCAGGCGGGAAGGCGGCUCUGUGUGUGGAGAGGAGAAAAGGAACCUGCCCGUUGUCAUUGGAGAAAAAGAGGAAGCGAAUGGUGUGUUCUACCCCUGCACGCUUAGCAGGGACAAGGCGCCGCUUGAAUAUUCUGCUGAAUGUGGUAUUUCUUUUAACCCUUACAGAGAUUUUCAAACCACAGAAUAAGGCUUUCCUGUCAAGCAACUGGUAAAGUCCCCCCAACCCUACACCGAGAGGAGGCCACAGCUCUGAAGUGGCUCCUGCCACCAGGCCUGGGUGACACAGCCCUGUACACCAGGCUGAACGGACACAAUGGCACCCGUGCGUAGCUCCAUCGCGAAGGCAAAGGGGCUAGUGGGGGGGGGGGUGUUUGGGGAGGAAUGUGUCCUGGUGCCCGACUUGUUCCAUACACUGCUUUGCAAACUAUUUCACCUAUAUAUACGUCCCCUCCAUCUAUUGAGACUCAAAGCCAAGAGCAGACUUCCUAAAGUGGACAUCCAUCUGAGACCGAAUCCUCGACCCUGCAGAGACGCUAAGAGUGGUAGACCUGAGCAGCCCCAGACCGACGUGUCGCCAGCCACCCCAGCCCACACAGUCCUGUAGGCCACCCCGCCUUGCAGUUGCUCUCGCCUGGCUUUGUUGCGGGGUUGUUAUCUAUCCCUUUCUAUUUCAACUGCUUCUGCACGUGUCUCCCGAUGAGUCAACCUCAGGCCCACGCUGGGGCGCUGACCACACUCCAUGCCAGUCUAAACCCUGCACAAUCCAAAAGUCACACCACACACACACACACACACACACACACACACACACACACACACACACACACACACACACACGAAGACCGGCAGCCUGGCAGGGCAGCAGGAAGCCGAGGGCAAACAAAAAGCCACCUUGGGGAAAGCGAGAGAAAGCUUUCUACAUACAUUAGUCCCUGCUCCUCUCGUCACCAUAACCACAGGUACCGGGCAGUGGCGGUAGUCUUUGCCAUGGCUAAGACAUCUUCGCUGCUGUGACCCGGUGGGGCGUGGGGGUAUGCCCGCUUCUCUUGGAAAGGAGCAGUGCUUUCUGGAAGGGUCAGGGACACUGGACCAAUAUUGGUAUGGAGUUUCAACUGAGCGGGUCAGUUCACCUGGAACCCGCUACCCGGCGGAGUCAGCCUGGCAAGCGACCUCUCAGAUGGAAACGCAGCAGGGGAAACCGGGAGCUGCGACCCUUCCACCCCGUGUGUCCAGGUGGAGUCCGCCUGGCAAGCGACCUCCAUCCAUCGGAGAGUGGAGCAGAAGUGACGGAACCUCACCCCCGAGUUGCUCCCUUCCAGCUAACUAACUCUGCUCCCCUGCCGAGAUGCCCCCCCAGGAGGUGGCGGGCACCGCAGCUCAGCUGGGAAGAUUGGGGGCGGGGAAGGGGGCGGGAGGCGGGGAGGCGAGCAGGGAUUUCCCACAGGGAUUCGCGAGCGCCUUGAGUGCCUGAGCUCCCGGGUGCGCCCCGCAAGGGGUCCGCUGAGCGGGUUUGGCUGGACACCAGCCGGAGGCACAACCACGCUGAGCCAGCAGGGAUGGUGUCGCUGCUAGUGGGCUCGCAACCACGCAGUCUCUUCUCCUGGAGAUGAGUUUAGGCAGGAUCGGCACUCACCCCAGCCCACCCCUGCUCCAAAGCUCAGAAGGCGAGAAAUGUGUCCAUCUCGCUCUUGCUGCCUCUGGAAGAUUGUAGCCCCGCAGGUUCUCAGACUGAUCCCCCUAGGGUGCGGUCAAUGGACUUGGCCCCCCCUUGCUUGCCAGCCACUUGCAGGGUACCGGCUCAAAGCUUCUCUGAUCCCCCGCGCGCAGCUCUAGCCUGCCGAGCCCAGAGUCCCGAGCAUCAGACUGCGAGCGAGCUGGGAAAGGGAGGCGGCGCGCCACCGCUCGCCAGCGCAUCCAGGCCCGGCAAUGAAAGAGCCCAAGGUGCCCACUCUAGGAGCCCCGUGGCCCGAGGUAUCCCUUCCCAGACCAGCUUCUCCCGGAGCUAAGGAGCUUGCACCGCAGUGCAGCGGGCUCCGAGCUCUCCGAGUCGGAGAUGUCCGGGGAUCGUGGUGUCUGGGAGCACCGGGGCGCGGAGCAUGGAGACUCUGCGAACCAGCGGCGGGUGCCCAGGGUCGGCCGGGGGCAUACCUGUGGGUACCGCCCUAGCCCGGUGCCCCGUCUCCUCCCAGGCUCUGGGACAUCCUUGCCCUCAGGCACCAGGAUGCCUGACUACGCCGAGCAACCAAAGGAGCCCCGAGAAGCGUGCGACACCCGGGAACUGGCAGCUGGCAGCCACCAAGUUGCGCCACGAAGGUUGACUGAGGAAUUCAUUGCCAAGAUCAUCACUGCCAAGGAGUUGUUUUUUACCCUGUUUUCUUUAGAGUUCCAGGUCUACAUUUGGGAUGGUUGGUUGUUAUUGAUGUGAAGAAAGACCAGUUGUGUUGAUUUUGUGUCCUCUUAAACUGAAAUAAAAUGUCUCAAAUCAAAAAAGAAUAUAUAUAUUCUUAAAAUUCUAAUUACUGAAACCUAACUCUGUGUGUUCAGAUUUUUUGAAAUCAAGACCAGAGAGCAAAGGAAGGGGGUGUUGACCAAGCAACCUGAGGUCCCUGCUACACUCAGGGAGGACUCAGAAAUGUUUCCAUUUGAGCAUCUGGCAAACACUGUAAUUGCUUUAAAAGGUAAAUAUUGUUUAAAAUUUAAACGUGGUUUUCAAAAGGUUUCUACAAAUAUACCGUAAAGAGGUAGAGAAACACUUUUGAAAAUAUUGGAGACAAUAAAAGCAAAAUGUCACCCUUUUGUUAAAAGGAGAAUUGGGAAAAAAGCAUAAAUAAACCAAGAGAAAGUUUCCAUUUGAGCAAUAAAAUUUUAUAAGAAAUUCAGAAAUACUUCCAAUAACAAAUGUGAAUGAAUCGAAUCUUGACUAAAAGAUAUGCAGAAAUGACAGGCUUCCAGCAGCAAAAUGUAAAUGCAGAAAGAAAAUAAAAUUAUAUAUAUAUAUAUAUAUAUAUAUAUAUAUAUAUAUAAUUUUAUGCUUUAAUAUGUAUGCCCUAAAAUCCUAGAUCUGUCUGAAUUUUGAUUUCCAACUAAGAGUAAAAAGAAGACUUUUCAAACAAGACUGAAGAAAUGUACCACCAAGUUACUGUCUGGAAGAGGUCCAGCAAGUCAACUAUUCAAGGAAUGAGAAAACAAAUGACGGGCUGGAGAGAUGGCUCAGCAGUUAAGAGCUCUGGCUGCUCUUCCAGAGGACCCCAGUUCUGUUCCCAGCACUCACAUGGCAGCUCACAACAUCCAUAACUCCCAGGGGAUCCAACACCCUCUUCUGUCCUCUGUGGGCACUGCAUGCACAUGGUACACACACACACACGCACACGCACACGCACACACACACAUAUGCAGGAAAACAUCCACAUAUAAAUCAUAAGUCAUGUUUUUUAAAAAAAUAAAGUAAAUGAAGAAUAACAAAGUCAGAGGAGAGAGAAACUUGAGUAAAGGAACUGUUGAGUGGAUAAAGGAUUGGGAUUGGCAACAGUAAGAUGUCACUAAAAUGCAGAAGAAAAAUAGAGCAGUUUGAUAUGAGAGUUAAAGAGCCAGAAUUUUGUACACAGUAGAACCAUUCUGAGAUGAUGCAGAAAUAUUGAAUACUUUUAUAUGUUAUAAACCAGCCAUGCCUGAAGUAUUAAUGGUGUCCACUUCCAAAUAAACAGUGGGAGCAAAGAGGGAUAAUGAAAGUUAAUCAAUACUGUGGAAAGGAGGAAAGUGGGGGUUGGGUAAUGUAGACAUAAAACAUGAGAGAAGAUAAUGGAAUUAAGUCCAAACACACUAGCGAUGAGAACAAAUACUGUGUGGUAAGCUCAUCAUUCUAAAGGACGAACAUCAGAUGGACUACAAAGAAAUCCAUUAUCUACCGUUUAAAAGAAAACAUAUCUAAAGCCAUAAUGACUCACAUGUAUUCAAAGUAAAUGGAUAAGAGAAAAAUACAAUAGGCAAAUAUUAUUUUUAAAAAGCUGGCACCACUGGAUUAAUACCAAACAGAAUAAAUAUUAUGGAAAAGGCAUCAUGAAUAAUGAAGAAGGUCACUACAUAAUAAUAAAGAGCUAAUUGUUUGAGAAAGACACACGAAUCUGAAUUUCUGUGUAGCUAAGGUAUAGCCUAAAAACGGGCAGAUUUUCAAGGAGGAGCUGAUAGAUCUGUCAAUAGAGAGAGUAAUUUUACCAGGCCUCCUCUUGUUAUUGAUACAUUGUGAAGACUGACUGCUUAUGAGGCCACAAAUUGCAAUAAAGACCAAAUGGCUUGCCACCUGGUGAGUGUCGCUUGACCUCAAAGCCAUCCAAUUAAAAAUCAAUAACAGAAGAAACUGGAGAGGAGUUAUGAUGGGAACAGGAAGGAUAUAGAAGGCGACGACGACAGAAACAUUUCAUACCAUGCACUGGAACAUCUGGAAAACCAACCGGAAGGCUCAAAGCAGCUCACUGGGAGCUCAGAAAAGGCAAGAGGGCUGCAAUUAACUGUGUGGAAAUAAGCAACAGGAGGAUAAAUACACACAAUUACAGGAAUAGGGAAUGAAUUAUUAACAAGAUCCUCAUAUUUCAAAGUUCACGCUAAGGAAGAGAAGCUAUUUUUUUUUUUAAGUCUUCCAAGCUGGACACUGCUGUGUACUACUCUGUGGCUUCAAUCCCAGCACUCAGGAUAGAGAAUAGAAGAUUUGGGGUCCCAGGCCAUGCUGGGCUACAUGGCAAAACUCUGUUUCUCACUGUCAACCCCUUUUAUUUUAUUUUAUCUUAUUUUAUUUUUGAGAUAAGACUUUUCUAAUAAGAUUGAGCUAGUUUGCCAGAAAUAGGGUAUGUAAUAAGACACAACAAAAAUCAAUAUUAGGGAUGAAAGGGGCAUAUGCAUGCAAAGUAAACUUUGAAAUACUAUGCCACUUGAAUGAAAUAGUAAUGUUUCUUGAGAAGAAAAUACAGUGUAUAAAAUCUGAUUCACACCAAAAAAAAAAUGAAAAUAGUUGAGUAGAGUGAUUACCAUGAAAGGAUUUGAAUCAGCAAUUUAAAUCUACUAGGCUCCAAAAAAGGAAACAACAUUAAGUCUAAACGUUUUGCUAGUGAAUUCUACUACAAACAUUGAACAGUGUGACUCCCAAACCUUGUCAGGAGGUGGAGAUACAGUGCCGUUGGGCUUGUCCCAGGACAGAAAGAAUGGUCCAAUUUUAGAGAAAUAUAUUCACUUCACUGACUGACUAAAAGACAAAACACAUAUGGUCAUCUCAAGAGCCUGAGACCAAACUUUGAUAAAAAUGCAGAAUGAACUUUAAAAAUAUUGAAUAAAAGAGCUGGGAAUAUAACUCAGAAGUAGGGCACUUGCCUAGUGUGUAUGAGAGACUGAGUUCAAUUCAUAGCAUCUCAAUAAAUGAGUGGAGAAGAACAGAAACUUUAUUGGGAUAGAACACAUACAAAACUCCAGAUCGAAUGUCCUGUUAUCCAAGGAAUCCUCAGUGUCCCCUCUAUGGGUAGGAAAGAAUGAUGCUUCCUCUCCUGACCACUACUCAGCACUCUACUGCAGGCGUCUGCUAGCCAUUUGACCAUAUGGAAAAGCAAUGGAUGAUGUAGGGGAGGGAAGAUGUCCACCUUGGGUGACAGUUAGUUGAUACAUCGAAAACUCACGUGGCUGGACAGAUAAAUCAUCAGACCACACAAGGCAUCGCCAAAGCUGCUGGUUACAAAGUUAAUAUAUUUUUAAAAACAGCUUUUUUUCAGCAUCAAAAUCAAGUCAUUUUAACAAUAUAGCAUUUUAGUAUCAAUUUGUAAAGCUCAGACAUUUCUUGACAUGAAUCUAAAGCAUAUUUAGAAGAACACUUUCUUUAGAAAGCUUCAGGAAGCCUACGUGGACACAUUGUAAAAGCUUUAUUAAUAUAUUUAGAAGAACCAAGGAGCCAAACUAGGCUCAAAAGGAGAGAACUUGUAGCCACUUUCCCCAACAUUAGCUGGAAAUUUAGCUCAAGUGUAGAAUAUACCCAUUGUAUUUUUUGAGGAAUUUGGCAAUUUAAUCAUAAACUUCAAAGGCAAAAGAUAGGACUAAGCAGAACAAACUGGAAUAAACCAGAGUGGGAGGCUUCUGCCAGGUUUUGAAACUUACAAUGCCCAUAAUUAAAAAAAUACAGAAUUCACAUGGUGAUUUAGCACCAAUGCAUAUAUAGAAAACUCACCCUCCAGGGAAGCGUAAUAAAUAUCAAGGCUAGAUAAGCCACCAAUAAAUGUUGCUGAGAGCAUUUAGAAACUGUGAUUGAGUUUCUGUCCCACACCAAAUGUAAUCAACUUCAGGCAUAUUGAAAACAAAUGUUUAAAUGUGAAAUGUUAAAAUAUUUUUGAAGAAAAUAUUCUAGAAUACUUAAUGAGGCAAGGAUAAUGAGGGAGAUUUCCUAAAGGUACCGAAAAUAGAGACUGAAGGAAAGUACAGCUGUGCUUAGCCAGAAAAAGGGAAAGUGGUUGAAAAACAGCAGAAACAGUCAAGUCUCACAGUGGGAGAAAAGAUUUAGACCCUACUUUUAAAAAAAAGAAGGUACUAUCAUCCACAAUAUAUAAAGAAUUUCUAUGAACCAAUAAGAAAUAUCUGUUUAAAACCAUCCAAGCGUUCACUUGGCAGUUCACUCACUAAAAUUUGAACCAUGUAGAGAUUAGAAUGGUUCCCAUGCUAAGAUGUCAUGCAAAUUUGUGGCACCUUCCAUAUUUUUAAGCCACAUCCAAAAGAACAAAUAUUGUAUGAUUCCACAGAUAAGAAAUAUUUCAAGUUGGCAAACUCAUAGACACUGUGAACAGAUGAGAGCUUGCCAGGGACUUGCAGUGCAGGGGGUGGGGGGAGGGUGAUGAUCGGGGGAUGAUCAGGAGGUACAGCUUAGUGAACAAACAGUGUCUAUGCAGGGUGACAAAAGAGUUUCGGAAAUAGAUGGUGGUGAUGCCUGCACAACACUGUGCAUGUAAUUAAUGGUGCUGAAUUUUACACUUAGAAAGAUUUCAAUUCAAAUUCUGUAUGAUGAUAAUGUGUGACCACAAUAAAAGAAGAUAUUAAAAAGGGGAGCAAGAAAUUCAGACAGACACUUCAGAUAAAAUACAAAUGCCCUAACAAUAUCUGCAGAGAUGUCUAGAUGAAAACAACACCACAAUGAUACUUCUCACCUACUGCCAGGCAGAAAUCAUCAAGUAGGAAUAAGGAGAACUGGUAGGACAUGCAGCAAUGGGAGCUGUCACGAGGUGCCCGUGGGAGUGUUAGUCAGUUCAAAUGCUUUGGAAAGGAGGAGGCCAUCACUCCCCGGAGCUUUGGAAACGCGUGCUUCCCAUUGCCUUAAUUACAGUGAGGUGCUGGCUGGAAGAAGAACAAGACGUGGCUUCGAGGGAAAAAAGUUUCUUUUUCUCACACAUCUCACUUCUGACUCUCACAGUCUGGGCUACUUGGGUAACUCUGAUUCUCCCAGCUUUGGGGGGGAUGCAGUUCUUUCCUAGGCUUUUUUCUGCAAAGUUGAAGGUGGACCACUGAGCACCAUUGGGUUUUGACUAAUGAGGAGGGAGCGUGGAGGAAGCACACUGUCUGUCAUGGGCUCUGAUUGAGCAGCAGCAGAAUGGGAAGCUGUUAAAGGUCCUCAGCAGAAAGGGAGCCUAGGAAACGUGGGAAGAAGCAGGAAGACAUUCUGAUGGAGAACUAGGAGUCUGUUGUACCCUGAUGACAUUUUGAUUGAUACCUGGAGCUCUCAGCUGUAUCCUAAGCCUCAGCAAUCUCAUGACUACAUGUACCUUGCAACUCUCCUGUGCAUGGCCACCAGGAGACAUAUACAAGAAAGAUAAUAGGCACACCGUGGCAUUAUGCAAAAGAAAGAAACCACCCAAAUGCUCAUCACUGUGGUGAUAAUAAAAUAAAAUCAUGAAAAAAAAAUGAAGGAAUAAAAAUAAAAAUCAAGAAAAAUAAAUCAUGGCAUACUCAUUUACUGGAGUGAAAAUGAACAGACUACUGGGACACAACUGGGAAAGGCCACAGACAAUGCUCCUAAGAGAAUAUUAAUAUGCAACUCAGUACUAGGUACUGGGGUAUUGUUUAAUAAUUUGUAUUCAAAUGAUGUGUAUAGAUGCAUAUAAUAUUCACUAUUUUGCAUAUAUUUACAAUAAUAAUUUAUUAUGUUUACCUCUCCAAAAUAAAAUAAAUCUAAUUUUCACUCAAUAGUCUGAUAAGAGCAAAUGUUCGUUAAUAUUCGAUGUA